UCCGGUUUGUCACCGGCAGUCGAUCUAGAGUGCCCAACUUAAGGCUGGCAACUAAAUCCAAGGGUUGCGCUCGUUGCGGGACUUAACCCAACAUCUCACGACACGAGCUGACGACAACCAUGCACCACCUGUCUCCAACGCUCCGAAGAGGGCACACAUCUCUGUGUGUUUCGUUGGGAUGUCAAGGCCUGGUAAGGUUCUUCGCGUUGCUUCGAAUUAAACCACAUACUCCACUGCUUGUGCAGGCCCCCGUCAAUUC
This 259-nucleotide unclassified non-coding RNA is filed under the name uncultured Paenibacillaceae bacterium. RNAcentral's name for it is "contains 16S-23S intergenic spacer region". Lineage: Bacteria; Bacillati; Bacillota; Bacilli; Caryophanales; Paenibacillaceae. The record is from RNAcentral.